GACGAGGGAUCCUAGCGUUGUUCGGAAUCAUUGGGCGUAAAGCGGGUGUAGGUGGCUUUGUAAGUCAGAUGUGAAAGCCCAGGGCUCAACCCUGGAAGUGCAUUUGAUACUGCGAAGCUUGAGUGCUGGAGAGGUAAGUAGAAUUCCUGGUGUAGUGGUGAAAUACGUAGAUAUCAGGAGGAAUACCGGAGGCGAAGGCGGCUUACCAGCCAGACACUGACACUCAGACCCGAAAGUGUGGGGAUCAAACAGG
This 253-nucleotide unclassified non-coding RNA is filed under the name uncultured Pseudobdellovibrionaceae bacterium. Its description in RNAcentral is "uncultured Bdellovibrionaceae bacterium contains 16S-23S intergenic spacer region". It matches the Rfam family "Bacterial small subunit ribosomal RNA", at positions 524 to 776 of the family's 1533-position model. The record is from RNAcentral. Lineage: Bacteria; Pseudomonadati; Bdellovibrionota; Bdellovibrionia; Bdellovibrionales; Pseudobdellovibrionaceae.